AGCUAUGGAGCACCGGAGCACACGGCCUCAGUGCUGAGCUGGGCCCUGGAGAGAGGAAGGGUGUGAACAAAACAGACAAAAGUUCCUGCAUUCUAGAACUUUCCCCUGCCAGGAGCAGACAGGCCACAAACAAGGACACCAUCAAAUGAGGAAGAUGCUGUCGGAGAGUGAUGAGGACUGUGAAGCCGAGAAACUGGGUGAAGGAGAGAGACGAGCGGGGGCUACUUAAGAUUCUGGCUGUAGGAGGCCUCUCUGGAGAGGCAGCAUUUGUGCUCAGACCUGAAUGAAGAGGAGGCAGCCACGUGAAGAUCUCGGAUAGAACAUUCCAGAAGAGGGAAGGGGA
This 343-nucleotide long non-coding RNA is filed under the name Homo sapiens (human). RNAcentral's name for it is "HSALNT0237192". Lineage: Eukaryota; Metazoa; Chordata; Mammalia; Primates; Hominidae. The record is from RNAcentral.